CGGUCCUCGGUAGUGGCCUACGGGAGAAUCCGCCCGUGGACCUCGAUCGAAGACCGG
Molecule: non-coding RNA, 57 nt
Filed under: uncultured Arthrobacter sp.
Lineage: Bacteria; Bacillati; Actinomycetota; Actinomycetes; Micrococcales; Micrococcaceae
Description: Actino-pnp RNA
Rfam family: Actino-pnp RNA
Source: RNAcentral